ACCGAGCUCCCAGGCCGGACGCGCGGUGGCCUGACGGUCGCAAGGAUUACAUUCGCCUGACCCGGCCCAGCUUGACCCUGCCCGGGCGCGCCAUGUUCGCGCGUGGGUCCCGGAGGCGCCGCUCUGCGCGUGCGCCUCCAGAGGCAGAGCACCCAGACCGGGGCCAGCCCUGCAACUCCUGUAGGGAGCAGUGCCCCGGCUUCCUGCUCCACGGCUGGAGAAAGAUCUGCCAGCAUUGCAAAUGCCCGAGGGAGGAGCACGCAGUGCACGCGGUGCCUGUGGACCUGGAACGCAUCAUGUGUCGGCUAAUCUCGGACUUCCAGCGCCACUCCAUCUCCGACGAUGACUCAGGCUGUGCAUCGGAGGAGUAUGCCUGGGUGCCCCCAGGCCUUAAGCCGGAGCAGGUAUAUCAAUUUUUCAGCUGCCUCCCAGAGGACAAAGUCCCCUAUGUCAACAGUCCUGGGGAGAAAUACAGGAUCAAGCAGCUGCUGCACCAGCUGCCCCCACACGACAGUGAGGUGAGGAGAGAGAAGACAGGAAGGGCAUGCCAGGCACAGCGCACAGCCUGGGCCAAUGCAGGGCAGGGUCAGAGGAGGAAAGGUGAGCUGAUCUGAGGUGAGUGAUCCAGACAGGCAGGGGUCAUCAGGGGACAUUCCUUGGCAAAACCACAGCUGGGCCUUGGAAGAAGAGGUGGUUACUUCAGGCAGGAGGCACCAUCUAUAGAAAGACCUAGAAGUAAACUUUCGGGGCAUGGAUGAAGUCUGGAAGAGGGGCAGGGACAGGCAUCAAGGGAGGAGCCUAGGAGA
RNAcentral lists this small RNA (806 nucleotides) under Pongo abelii (Sumatran orangutan). Its description in RNAcentral is "retained intron". Lineage: Eukaryota; Metazoa; Chordata; Mammalia; Primates; Hominidae. The record is from RNAcentral.